Molecule: ribosomal RNA, 629 nt
Filed under: uncultured bacterium
Lineage: Bacteria
Description: bacterial SSU rRNA
Rfam family: Bacterial small subunit ribosomal RNA
Source: RNAcentral
AUACCCCUGGAAACGGGAGACAAUACCGCAUAAGCUCGAAAGAGGAAAGCAGCAAUCACCGAAAGAGGAGUCCGCGGUCGAUUAGCUAGAUGGUGAGGUAAUGGCUCACAUGGCGAAGAUCGAUAGCCGGCCUGAGAGGGCUCACGGCCACACUGGCACUAAACACGGGCCAGACUCCUACGGGAGGCAGCAGUGGGGAAUCUUGCACAAUGAGGAAACUCUGAUGCAGCGACGCCGCGUGAGUGAUGAAGCCCUUCGGGGCGAAAGCUCUUUCGACAGGAACGAUAAUGACGGUACCUGAAGAAGAAGCUGCGCUAACUACGUGCCAGCAGCCGCGGUAAUACGUAGGCAGCAAGCGUUGUUCGGAUUACUGGGCGUAAAGAGUGUGUAGGCGGUGCUCUAAGUUUGGUGUGAAAUCCCCGCUCAACCGGGAGGCUGCAUCGAAUACUGGAAUGCUAGAGGGUGGGAGGGUAGCGGAAUUCCUGGUGUAGCGGUGAAAUGCGUAGAUAUCAGGAGGAACCCUUGGUGUAGACAGCUUACUGGACCACUUCUGACGCUGAGACACGAAAGCUGGUAGCAAACAGGAUUAGAUACCCUGGUAGUCCACGCCCUAAACGAUGCAACUGGCG